Long non-coding RNA from Lepidothrix coronata (blue-crowned manakin), 2832 nucleotides. RefSeq lists it as uncharacterized. Lineage: Eukaryota; Metazoa; Chordata; Aves; Passeriformes; Pipridae. The transcript is spliced from 2 exons. The record is from RefSeq and is a predicted model, not a curated record.
GCCGGGCGGCGAGAGCGUGGCGAGGUGGCGCUGGCUGGCACCCUCGGCAGCUGAGCGCCCCGCGGAGCGGGGACGGGCCCAGCGCGGAGCCUGCGGCAGGAGAUACUGCUGAAGUACCUGCUUUCCACCACUUUCCUCAUUUAACUUCCCCUUGGGGUCAGCUGGUCAUCAGCAUGCCUUCUACCAAGAACACCUCAAAACUUUUCCUGGUCCUCUUCUCACUGCUGCUGGUGCUGCCAGUGGUUGAAGCCCUGGAUGCCGGAGAUACCAUUGCCUUUCUUCUAGGCCUCGCUGUCAGUGUUGUCGGAUUCUGCGCCUGCCUCGGCUUGUAUGCAAGGAAAAGGAAUGGGCAGCAGUGAUUUCAAGAAAAUGCUCAGAUGAAGUGAAUUUCCUAACAUGGCUUGGGGUUGGGUGUAAGACUGAGCUUUGGUUCUAGAUAACUUUCAAAAAACAAAUAGUAGAUGUUUCUGCAAACCUGUCUUACUGUUCAGUACAACAGAAUCAAGACUGUACACAGUAAAAGGGAUUUUUAGGAUCUGCCCUUGUGACAGAAGUAUAAUUUUAUAUUGCUUGUGAUUAAAUAUUGCCUCAGAGAAGGGUAAGAACUUUUUGAAUGGGGAAGAAAAACUAUAGAGUGGCUCACAGUAAAAGUCUAUAAAUGUAGCAUGUGAGGGAGGCCGUCAACAAGUUCCACAAUUUUGGUUUCAAGGUUUAUUCAGGAGGAAGCAGCUAUUAAUCUUCUAGUCAGGAUGACAGAGUUUUGAAAGUUCUCCUAACUAGAUAGCUGGCAAGCUCUAACUUGUGUGCUUGUGCUCACCUUCUCUGUAAUGACAGUUAACACCUAACAGCUCACUUCUGCUGUCACAGGAAUGAGACUUAACGAGAACUAAGAAAACAUGAAAGGCUUUUUCUUUUCUUUGAGAAUAUUUUUAGAGCAUUUUUAUUUUAGAAUAUGCCACUCCUGUAGCCUAUGUUCUUGUUACCAAGUAAAUACACUUAAGAGUGGGACCAAUAUUGUUAUUUAACAUGUAUUUCACAGAAAAGUACGUGUAAGGCUAUGUAAAUCAGAUUAGGGAUAUGGGCUUUGUCUCUUGUUUAUUUUUGUACACAGCUUUCCUUUAGGCGUACCAUGUUUAAGCUUUAUUUCAUUUGCUGUUUGUACUUUUUUCUCCAAAACUGAAGACUUAUCUAUUUUGAUGAGGAAUUAUGUGUAGUAUUUUUCUGCAUUAGGAAGUUAUUAGAGUUAUAGUAAGACCAUUGUACACAUGUUUCUUAGAAAAUGUACACAUGUUAUAGAAAAAACUUGUUUUGUUAAAAUCCUGGGUUUAGUUAACAGGUCCAUUGCUCAAGUGUCUUCCUCAUGACAAACUUACGUUACUAGCUAAAUAUUUAGGCUUCUCUAACUGGUGCAUGUGAGUUCCACAGAAGAUUAGGACCAAAACCAAAGUAAAAAGUCCUGAUGCAAAAUGGGAGAUGUAUUCUAUUCACGCUCAGUCAGAUCGUAUGGUAUAUGGUUGAAAGACUUAAUAGCAUAUCUAGAACCUUCUCUAAGUACCAAAGGUGAAAAGGCUCAGCCAAGAAUGUUUACCACAACUCCCUCCAGCUUGUUAGGGUGUUCUAGCUGUCUGCUUGAAGCAAGGAGCACAAUCUCUUAAAAGCAGCAGAAUAAGGAGCAUAGGAAGGUGAGCUUUCCACAGUUCACAGAAUUUCCUUCUGAUCUUGUGCUGUGGACAGUGCCACUCUUGCUAGAAAUCUUGGCUUUUAUCUUUCAGAGCUGGGGAAAAAGGUUACAUGUGAUGCGAAGCUAUUCCUCCACUUCAAGUCUCUGUUCAGUAGAGCACCAAGCUAGAAGAGUUGUUGGGCAGGUCUUAUGUAAGAAAUUGGGUGGCAUAUUAUGUUCUACAAAUUCAAAGAUUUCUGCAUGCCAUUUUUGGCUGGUUUGACUUCUUUCUUCAGCCUCUGAGGAGACAGAAGCCCUUGUUAUUUCAGUCUUGCAAUUUAUGUCCCUCUCUCAUGGUUGAUAGAGGGAGGAGGUUAAAAUGAAAGCUUCUAAAAAUUGCAUGGGAUUGAAACUGUAGGAUUCAAUUCAGUAAUCUGCAAGAAUGUAGGUUUCUGAUUUCACGUUACAAGAAUAAAGGUCACAGAGUUACUCUGAUGAGUUGCAAGUUUUGCCAGGUUCUUGAACAAUUUUUGUAGCUUUCAAAAGUCUGGGACAUGGUGCACAAUGACUGUGUACAAAUGAAAUUACAGGCCUUAGAGGAGCUUCAGACAGUAGCAUCACCUUUGAAAGCUGCCUAGCAGCAGUAGAUGAUCCUGUAUGUGAUUAUUCAGCUGGGUGGGUGCAAGCACACAUCAAAGUGUGAUCUUCGAUGUUCCAGCUUGGGUAAACCAUUACACUUAAAAAAAACCCCAACCCCCAAAAUCACCACUCAAUUCACUUUAAUUUUGCAAAAUUACAUAAUUUUGCCAAUUUUUCACUAGAAUAUAUAUGUUGCUCUUUCAAUAGAAUAAGUUUUAUCACAAGCAGCUUUUCACAGACUCCUUUACCUACACUUUGGAAAAGAUCCCUGGAAACUGGGCAACAGUUUCACUUCAGAAAAACAAAAUUUUAGCAGAGUAAUUAUCUUCAAGCAAUAGGGAUAUGAGGAACACUGUUCUUUGCCCGAAGCUGAAUGUACUUUAUUGAAAGGUGUUUGCACAGCAUAAUAGCUUUGUUUCCUGGGUUCUGAAAGAAGCUUUAUUGUUAAAGACUUCCAUUUGUUGAUGUCUUGAGUGUAAAAUCAGAUACCCCUGUUUUUCUUUUGUCUUAAUAAACUUUCACAUAUGAUUUAU